RNAcentral lists this long non-coding RNA (602 nucleotides) under Homo sapiens (human). RNAcentral's name for it is "HSALNT0384280". The record is from RNAcentral. Lineage: Eukaryota; Metazoa; Chordata; Mammalia; Primates; Hominidae.
CCCUGCCUGGCCUCUCUUUGAAACCUGCCCAGUGACAGGGAUCUCAAUGCAGGGCAUUGCAUGUCUUCUGACAGGAUGCUGGUUUAGGUCACUCCCUCUGCCCUGCAAGCCAGCUGUGUCCCCAGCAUUUCCCAGGGCAGAGAUAGAUCACUCCCUGUGAGAGUGUUUUGGUGUCAGUGUGGAACGGCUUCCCUGUUUGGCCCCCUGGGUAUACUGGAACCUGGGAAGGGACCUCUCCAGCUAACCCAGGGCUGGGCAGGGAGUUACUGAAAGGAAAAAGGAAUUUAUUUUUAAUUUCCUGGGUUUUCUUGGCUGUUGCUUUGGAGUGGAGAUCAUUUAGACAUCUGGUACCCUGAUGGCCUGAGAAGAGAAGGAAAGUCCUUGGAAAGGAGUUAGGUGACUUCUGGGCUCCACAUGGACCAAACCCAGCUGGCAGUCAGAGGGCAAGAGCAUCUCGAUGCAGCGCAUACAGGCCAAUUCCAGGGUGCAGUGCAGCAUGGAAAAGGAGAAAUGUACCUGAAGAGGCAAAUGAAAGAUAUACAGCGUCACAGGCAAUCUUGCUUCUACUACCAUAAAAAUAGUUUACGUUUCUUAGACACUUA